This 2874-nucleotide long non-coding RNA is filed under the name Xyrichtys novacula (pearly razorfish). The record is from RNAcentral. Lineage: Eukaryota; Metazoa; Chordata; Actinopteri; Labriformes; Labridae.
CCCAGGUCUACAGGAGGGGAUUCACAAGGGCCACUGGGACCAAAGACAAGAUUUUUUUUUUAAUUAAAAUAAAAAUAAAAUAAGACAGGGGAUAAUAAAAUAAAAAGGGAACAAAAAUCAAAGUUCUGUCUAAAGCCAUUAAUGAAAGUCAUAUAUUUAUGUUAACAUGAUCCAGUGAUUUGCUUUACAUGAUUAUUAAAUAAUAAAGGAACUAGAGAAAUACAGAGUUGUGUGAUACACUUGAAAAAAUAUGUAAAUAUAAAUAAUCCAUUUAAUAGAUAAAUAAAAAACCACAGCAAUUAUCUGAAAAUACCAUCCAUUCACCUGAUUUUCAAGAAUAUGUUUUAUUCUGUUUCAAAAGCAGCAUUUACAGGAAUAUCAACAUUCAACAGAACUGAAACAAGACUGCACAUGAUAGAAGAUUAAAACAUGUCUGAAGUGAUGAGUACAAAUAGAUGUCAGAUAUGCUUCACCUUAAAAACCACAACUUUCUCUUGUUUGCUCCACCCACAAUUUUUCAUAGAUAUUCAUCAUGGAAAAGUCCUGAAAAAUAGAUAUUUUUCAGGACUCUACACCGGACUGUCCCUGGAGUCGGGUGGACCACCAUCUUCAUGUGGCGGCCUUCCUCCAUCGGCGUCCCGUUCAGGUAGAGGCGUUCAGCUGCUCCUGUGAUGCUGUUCAGAGUCUGAUUAUCAGUCCAUCUUUUCACUGACUGAUCAGAGACUGAGAGUGAAGCUGAACUACCUCAUUGAUAACUCCUUAGGUGUCUCUAGUAAUUAAUCUUUAACAUUUAACAAUUUUUUUUAUUAAUGAAUAAAGAGGAGUCUCAAUUUAUCUCCACAGCUUCACUCUCAGUCUCUGAUCAGUCAGUGAAAAGACAUGGGGGGAGAUUUGUCUCAAAGUUAUGCACAAAUAUGUAUCCACAAUUUCCACAUGUGACUUUCAGAUCCACAAAUAUAUUUCCAUGAUUUUCACGUGUUUUUUAAAUUUGUGUUUGUGCAUUUAUCAUGAUUCAUCAUUCGUAAAUCAUCAAUUCUGCUAUUGAAUUGUUGAAAAAUGUGUUUGUGGAUAAACCGGCACGUGUGUUUAUUUUUGAGACAAAUAUCACAGUUUUGAAGACACACACAAGUUGAGGAUUUUCACCUGAGGAGAACACUGCCUCUCCCAUCCACUGGGCAGCAGUGUUUCUCCCUCUGUUGAGAGCAUAGACUGUGAAUAAGAUAGUUGACAGCUAUCCACCUUAGAAGUGGGGAGAAGUUUCUCUGCUUCUAUAGUGGAUAGCUGUAAAUAAUCCCUUUCAUAGUCUAUGCCCUUAACAGAGAGACAGAGAGCUAUUUACACAAAUGUUGUAAAGUUUAACCCAAAAUAAACUCAAAUUCUGAUGAUUUAUUUGUUGUAUUUUAUGGUACAGGUGCUCGCAGUUGGACUCGACAUAUUGGAAGAAGAGGAGGAUCAUCAAACAGAGCAGCGGAUACUCUCAGGUGAUGUUAUCAUCUGUGUUUUUAAAGUUCAUCAGUGUUUAAGUCACUGGAAAAUUAAUCAUUGCGUUGUAGAUGAGACAUGACUUUAAGAAAACGUAGAGCUUGAAACAUCAGGGUUAUGAUUAAAUUAAUUUAUUCACCAAAAAUCACAAAUCGGCUGAUAUUAAUGUUUUUUUUUUGUUUUGUUUAAUUUGCUGCAUGAAAAAGAACAAGCAGAAGUAUGAUAAAAUUUUCUGUAAAUGUUUCUGUAAAUUAAAUCAGUCUAAGGUUUUUUGGUCAUGACUUUAAAGUUACGAUAUGACUAAAGCAGCUGCUUUUUCUUUUGUUGGGUUAAAAGUGACAAACUAAUUGUCUCUCUUCUUUUCUUUCAGGACCAACUGUGGAGUUUUUUCCUUUUGUGAAUUGUUUUCCUUUGUUCUUGUUGUUACUUAGCAUUUUUGGAGGAGUCUGACAGCUAAAACCCACAGAAUCUGGAAUGGCUGCACUCUUGAUCCAGCACGCGGAUCAAAUACACAAGCAUCAUAAUCAGUGUGCGUGAUUCUACAGAGUCGGUCCACUGUCCGGCUCCACUGCAGAUCGGCGGUUGGAUUAGAUACACAAGACUUCAAUUUUUGACACCGCAGCACAGCGCAGCACAAGCAGCAGCGGAAGUUGUAUGCGGUUACAGAGUAAAAUACCUGGUUAAUUUUCAAAAUAAAGUCAACACAUUGAACUGUUCUUCACUUAAUAAUAGUAGAAGCCAGGGUUGUGGGAUGUGGGUGUUUUAUAUAUACCGCUGUUUAUAUGCACUGAUCGGCAGAUCUCAUUCAAUGUCUCAUGGUGAAACACGCGAGUUCUCAUGAGACCUUGUCCAGUCUCGCGAGAAACAUCGGUUAUAUCGUGAGCGCUUCUCCUUUGCUUGCUGCAGCAGAUCAGAUCCGGUGGGCGCUGUAUGCUUGGGUAUUUGAUCCGCCUGCUGGUCUGGAGCGGAGUGGAACCGUUCUGGAUCUUGUGGAAUCCCCGGGUUACUGUGUGUUUAUUUAGUUGGAAUGUAGUUUAGUAAAGUUAGGUACAGGCAGUGAAGGUAGGAGUUUUAUUUUAUUUCUUUGAAACAAGAGAGAUCUUGAGCUUCCCUUUUAGGUACUUGCUUCACUCUCUGAUAGGUAGGUUGGAGAUUGAGCUGCCUAUAAAAGGAGAGCAGAAUUACUCCCAAGGGAGGAAGAUGUGCCCUUGUUUAAUCUCAUUUAAGACUCAAUUUGUUUGAUCUUGGGAGAAGCUUGUAGUUUUUAAUGGAAACUUUAUAUGUGGACUUGACUGUAAAUGAAAAAAUAUUCACUGCUAAGAAAACAGCAGUCUGUCAAGUUGUCUUCAUGGGGGGACCAACAAGUUCAUAAAUAAAAAACACACAGACACA